GACGCACUCUGGCGGCGUGCUUAACACAUGCAAGUCGAACGGUAAGGCUCCAGCUUGCUGGGGUACACGAGUGGCGAACGGGUGAGUAACACGUGGGUGACCUGCCCUGCACUUCGGGAUAAGCCUGGGAAACUGGGUCUAAUACCGGAUAGGACCGCACCGUGAGGGUGUGGUGGAAAGUUUUUUCGGUGUGGGAUGGGCCCGCGGCCUAUCAGCUUGUUGGUGGGGUAAUGGCCUACCAAGGCGGCGACGGGUAGCCGGCCUGAGAGGGUGGACGGCCACAUUGGGACUGAGACACGGCCCAGACUCCUACGGGAGGCAGCAGUGGGGAAUAUUGCACAAUGGGCGGAAGCCUGAUGCAGCGACGCCGCGUGGGGGAUGACGGCCUUCGGGUUGUAAACUCCUUUCACCAUCGACGAAGGGUUUCUGACGGUAGAUGGAGAAGAAGCACCGGCUAACUACGUGCCAGCAGCCGCGGUAAUACGUAGGGUGCGAGCGUUGUCCGGAAUUACUGGGCGUAAAGAGCUCGUAGGUGGUUUGUCGCGUCGUCUGUGAAAUUCCGGGGCUUAACUCCGGGCGUGCAGGCGAUACGGGCAUAACUUGAGUACUGUAGGGGAGACUGGAAUUCCUGGUGUAGCGGUGAAAUGCGCAGAUAUCAGGAGGAACACCGGUGGCGAAGGCGGGUCUCUGGGCAGUAACUGACGCUGAGGAGCGAAAGCAUGGGGAGCGAACAGGAUUAGAUACCCUGGUAGUCCAUGCCGCAAACGGUGGGCGCUAGGUGUGGGUUUCCUUCCACGGGAUCCGUGCCGUAGCUAACGCAUUAAGCGCCCCGCCUGGGGAGUACGGCCGCAAGGCUAAAACUCAAAGGAAUUGACGGGGGCCCGCACAAGCGGCGGAGCAUGUGGAUUAAUUCGAUGCAACGCGAAGAACCUUACCUGGGCUUGACAUAUACAGGAUCGCGCCAGAGAUGGUGUUUCCCUUGUGGCUUGUAUACAGGUGGUGCAUGGUUGUCGUCAGCUCGUGUCGUGAGAUGUUGGGUUAAGUCCCGCAACGAGCGCAACCCUUGUCUUAUGUUGCCAGCACGUUGUGGUGGGGACUCGUAAGAAACUGCCGGGGUUAACUCGGAGGAAGGUGGGGAUGACGUCAAAUCAUCAUGCCCCUUAUGUCCAGGGCUUCACACAUGCUACAAUGGUCGGUACAGUGGGUUGCCAGUCCGUGAGGGCGAGCUAAUCCCGCAAAGCCGGUCUCAGUUCGGAUCGGGGUCUGCAACUCGACCCCGUGAAGUCGGAGUCGCUAGUAAUCGCAGAUCAGCAACGCUGCGGUGAAUACGUUCCCGGGCCU
RNAcentral lists this ribosomal RNA (1341 nucleotides) under uncultured bacterium. RNAcentral's name for it is "partial 16S ribosomal RNA". It matches the Rfam family "Bacterial small subunit ribosomal RNA", at positions 28 to 1381 of the family's 1533-position model. The record is from RNAcentral.